GGGCGUAAAGAGCUCGUAGGCGGUUUGUCGCGUCUGCUGUGAAAAUCUGAGGCUCAACCUCGGACUUGCAGUGGGUACGGGCAGACUAGAGUGCGGUAGGGGAGAAGGGAAUUCCUGGUGUAGCGGUGGAAUGCGCAGAUAUCAGGAGGAACACCAAUGGCGAAGGCACUUCUCUGGGCCGCUACUGACGCUGAGGAGCGAAAGCGUGGGGAGCGAACAGGAUUAGAUACCCUGGUAGUCCACGCCGUAAACGUUGGGCGCUAGAUGUGGGUCACAUUCCACGUGAUCCGUGUCGCAGCUAACGCAUUAAGCGCCCCGCCUGGGGAGUACGGCCGCAAGGCUAAAACUCAAAGGAAUUGACGGGGGCCCGCACAAGCGGCGGAGCAUGCGGAUUAAUUCGAUGCAACGCGAAGAACCUUACCAAGGCUUGACAUAUAGAGGAAAACUGCAGAAAUGUAGUCCCCGCAAGGUCUCUAUACAGGUGGUGCAUGGUUGUCGUCAGCUCGUGUCGUGAGAUGUUGGGUUAAGUCCCGCAACGAGCGCAACCCUCGUCCUAUGUUGCCAGCACGUUAUGGUGGGAACUCAUGGGAGACUGCCGGGGUCAACUCGGAGGAAGGUAAU
This 621-nucleotide ribosomal RNA is filed under the name uncultured Actinomycetes bacterium. Its description in RNAcentral is "bacterial SSU rRNA". It matches the Rfam family "Bacterial small subunit ribosomal RNA", at positions 556 to 1177 of the family's 1533-position model. Lineage: Bacteria; Bacillati; Actinomycetota; Actinomycetes. The record is from RNAcentral.